UCGCGGGGUGGAGCAGUCUGGUAGCUCGUCGGGCUCAUAACCCGAAGGUCGCAGGUUCAAAUCCUGCCUCCGCAAUC
This 77-nucleotide transfer RNA is filed under the name Clostridioides difficile. RNAcentral's name for it is "tRNA-Met". It matches the Rfam family "tRNA". Rfam says of the family: Transfer RNA (tRNA) molecules are approximately 80 nucleotides in length. Their secondary structure includes four short double-helical elements and three loops (D, anti-codon, and T loops). Further hydrogen bonds mediate the characteristic L-shaped molecular structure. tRNAs have two regions of fundamental functional importance: the anti-codon, which is responsible for specific mRNA codon recognition, and the 3' end, to which the tRNAs corresponding amino acid is attached (by aminoacyl-tRNA synthetases). tRNAs cope with the degeneracy of the genetic code in two manners: having more than one tRNA (with a specific anti-codon) for a particular amino acid; and 'wobble' base-pairing, i.e. permitting non-standard base-pairing at the 3rd anti-codon position. RNAcentral also lists the same sequence under 3 other names. Lineage: Bacteria; Bacillati; Bacillota; Clostridia; Peptostreptococcales; Peptostreptococcaceae. The record is from RNAcentral.